This 204-nucleotide long non-coding RNA is filed under the name Nicotiana benthamiana. RNAcentral's name for it is "long non-coding RNA (NBEN_LNC028608)". The record is from RNAcentral. Lineage: Eukaryota; Viridiplantae; Streptophyta; Magnoliopsida; Solanales; Solanaceae.
AUGGAUUCGUCUGGGGAUGGGGUGAGGAAUGUAUGGUGUUAUUUAGAAAAGGUUCCGGCGACGGCAACGCCAUGGACGGCGGAGGUGGCGCCCAAAGGUUCUAAUAUUCGAGACGAUUGGCUUGUAUUCGAGACUUGAUUUAUAGGGCAUCAGAAAGAGGAGGGUACGGGGAGUGAGGUGUGUAUUUUUGGGAGGAAUCUGAGC